Transfer RNA from Intoshia linei, 72 nucleotides. It matches the Rfam family "tRNA". From Rfam's summary of the family: Transfer RNA (tRNA) molecules are approximately 80 nucleotides in length. Their secondary structure includes four short double-helical elements and three loops (D, anti-codon, and T loops). The record is from Rfam. NCBI's taxonomy places the organism in Eukaryota, Metazoa, Orthonectida, Rhopaluridae.
GCGGUUGUCGUAUAGUGGUUAGUACGUCACGUUGUGGCCGUGACAACCCCGGUUCGAAUCCGGGCAACCGCA